GGGGUCCUGGAGCGGGCUGAGGCUGCCCAAGUUCGAGCCCCCCCCGGCGCCCCCUGAGGUGGAGGAGGGCGGCGAUGACGUCACACCGAGCGCCAAUGACGUCGCGCCCGAGCCCGAUGACGUCACCGAGGCCACCAUCCGCCGCUUGGGGGCGCUGCAGCUCCAGGAGCCCGCGGGGGGCGGGGCCGAGGCCGAGGGGGCGGGGCCUCAGCAGGACCCCGCCCCUGUGGGCGGGGCCGAGGCCGGACCUGGUGCUGCCCCCUGCUGGGGGGAGGACGAGGAGCUGGAGGAGGGGGCGCUGUUCGCCGUGACGCCGCUGCCGGAGUGUCCCCACCUGGGGGCCGUGACCCCUCCCCCUCCCCCCGGGGGGGUCCUGGGGGGGUCCCGACCCCCCCCCUGCGGGGUCUGUGGGAGCCGCCGCGAGAACUG
Neopelma chrysocephalum (saffron-crested tyrant-manakin) is the source of this 429-nucleotide long non-coding RNA. RefSeq lists it as uncharacterized. The record is from RefSeq and is a predicted model, not a curated record. Lineage: Eukaryota; Metazoa; Chordata; Aves; Passeriformes; Pipridae. The transcript has 3 exons.